AACGUAGGAGGCAAGCGUUAUCCGAAUUUACUGGGCGUAAAGCGCGUGCAGGCGGUUCGAUAAGUUGGGUGUGAAAGCUCCUGGCUCAACUGGGAGAGGUCGUUCAAUACUGUCGAACUCGAGGAUGGUAGAGGGAGGUGGAAUUCCCGGUGUAGUGGUGAAAUGCGUAGAUAUCGGGAGGAACACCAGUGGCGAAGGCGGCCUCCUGGGCCAUUCCUGACGCUCAGACGCGAAAGCUAGGGGAGCGAACGGG
This 253-nucleotide ribosomal RNA is filed under the name uncultured bacterium. RNAcentral describes it as "partial 16S ribosomal RNA". It matches the Rfam family "Bacterial small subunit ribosomal RNA", at positions 524 to 776 of the family's 1533-position model. The record is from RNAcentral.